UUGGCCUCAAAUCGGGUGAGACUACCCGCUGAACUUA
Molecule: ribosomal RNA, 37 nt
Filed under: Lactarius pasohensis
Lineage: Eukaryota; Fungi; Basidiomycota; Agaricomycetes; Russulales; Russulaceae
Description: partial 28S ribosomal RNA
Source: RNAcentral